Molecule: long non-coding RNA, 1051 nt
Organism: Diabrotica virgifera virgifera (western corn rootworm)
Lineage: Eukaryota; Metazoa; Arthropoda; Insecta; Coleoptera; Chrysomelidae
Exons: 2
Source: RefSeq, a predicted model, not a curated record
CAUAACCCAAAUAAUUUAAUCCAGCCCUAUUUCUAUUUUUGAACAAAAUGCUGGAAAUUGGAAAUAUCUUAGUUUAUUUUUAGUUCUAGCUUAUUUACGGCUAGAUUGAAAAUCUGAAUUUUCUAAUAUUGGUUCAUGAUUAUCAUCAGGGACUUGAUUCGGUUCUUAAACAGAAUCAAUGGCUCUCUGAAAAUAUGAUACUCCAUUGGUCACCCCAAGAGGAAUACAACAAAAUUGGUAAAGGCAUCCACUUUCCUCAAAAGCUGUAAAUGGUUUGUCAUCACGCCCAGAUGGAUGACAUCACUAGUAUGUUGUAUACAGUAGAACCUCGAAAAUCCGAACUAAUUGGGGGGACAGCCUGUUCGGAUUCUGAAAAGUUCGGAUUAUCUGAAAGUCAGCCUAACUAGUAAUUCAAAGCUCUCCUGCAAAACGUGUAACCUGACUAUGAGAAAACCGAAGUAAAUUUAUGUUUAACCUUUAUAAGAGAUGUUCAGCAGACAUCAAGAAAUCAUUACUUUUCUAUUCACCCAUUAUUACCCAAAUGUAUACCUCAUUUUAACUACAAUUAUAACAAAGUACAUUCCUCAUUAAUAACCCGGCUAAAACUUACCCAUGGACUUUUUCCAGAGCAUCUACAUAGGAUUGGAAUCUAUGAAACUCCCUUCUGUUCCUGUAACCAUGAGUCCAUCGGGGAUCUGAACAUGUAUUCUUUGAUUGUCUUAAUCAUAGGGAUCAGACUCAAAACUUAUAUUUAGGUUUAAUUAACCUUAACAUUAGCCUUCCAGUUAGCAUCAGCAAUCUUUUAUCUUAUUCUGACAAAUCUAUAUUUAAUAUCUUAAUCAAGUUUAUAAAUGAUUCUAAGAUAAAAAUUUAAACAUAUCUAUAACAAAAUUCUGUGGCAAAAAGACUCUUUGUCUAAUGCCAUCUCUUUGACAGACACACACACACACACACACACACACACACACACACACACACACACACACACACACACACACACACACACACACACACACACACACACACACACACACCACACACACCACACACA